GAUGAACGCUGGCAGAAUGCUUAACACAUGCAAGUCAACUUGAACUUCGGUUUGGGUGGCGGACGGGUGAGUAACGCGUAAAGAACUUGCCUCACAGAUAGGGACAACAUUUGGAAACGAAUGCUAAUACCAGAUAUUAUGAUUUUAGGGCAUCCUAGGAUUAUGAAAGCUAUAUGCGCUGUGGGAGAGCUUUGCGUCCCAUUAGCUAGUUGGAGAGGUAACGGCUCACCAAGGCGAUGAUGGGUAGCCGGCCUGAGAGGGUGAUCGGCCACAAGGGGACUGAGACACGGCCCUUACUCCUACGGGAGGCAGCAGUGGGGAAUAUUGGACAAUGGACCAAGAGUCUGAUCCAGCAAUUCUGUGUGCACGAUGAAGUUUUUCGGAAUGUAAAGUGCUUUCAGUUGGGAAGAGAAAAAUGACGGUACCAACAGAAGAAGUGACGGCUAAAUACGUG
This 454-nucleotide ribosomal RNA is filed under the name uncultured bacterium. RNAcentral describes it as "partial 16S ribosomal RNA". It matches the Rfam family "Bacterial small subunit ribosomal RNA", at positions 28 to 507 of the family's 1533-position model. The record is from RNAcentral.